UGGUCGCCAGCCUCUGGCCAGCCCCUGCAGCCCAGCCGUUUUCCGGCAGGAGGGCUGGGCUGAGUACGGCCGAGGACUGGGCAGGCAGGGCAGCCGGUGGUCGCCGUCCCUCCAGGACACGAGUGCCCCUGCACAGGGGCGGAAGGGGAGGCCCGGGAGCCGGGGAGCCGCGGAGGCCAAGGGCCAGGCCGGCCAGGCCCCAGGGCAGGGCGGGGCGAUCCCAGCGUGCGGCCCUGAGGCACUGUCCCCACACCGCUCCACACUGUCCCGAAGCCCCCGAGCGCCAGCCCGGACCCCCGGGACACGCCCCCCACCACACACACACACACACACACACACACACACACACACACACACUCCCCCCCCCGACCCCCGGGACACACACCCCCACCCCACCCCCUGCACCCCCCGCACCCCCGACCGCUGGGACACCCCCCCACACACUCCCCUCCCCUCCAGCAACGCGCGGCGCUCCCAUCCCCCGGCAGCCCACCAGGUGGCGCUCGCUCCCCCACCCCCCCCCCCCCGCGCCGACGCCCGUGACGUCAGCCGCCCGGCUCCAUUUGAGCGCCUCUCGGCAGCCGAGAACUCGGACUUCCCGUGUGGCUCACAACAUAACUACUCGGCGUUGCUUCUACAGUGGCUGUGGCUCGACCCCUGGCCUGGGAACUUCCAUAUGCCGCAGCCCCGCGGCGGCAGAUGGCACUCGUUCUGCCGCUUUUUCCUGGCUGUGUGCGAUGCCAUCGCAUAGAUGUCCCCGGGUCUGCGAAGUGCACUCACCUGUCAGUGGACCUUUAGGUGGCUUCCAGAUCUUGGCUCUGCCCCGCGGCGGCAGAUGGCACUCGUUCUGCCGCUUUUUCCUGGCUGUGUGCGAUGCCAUCGCAUAGAUGUCCCCGGGUCUGCGAAGUGCACUCACCUGUCAGUGGACCUUUAGGUGGCUUCCAGAUCUUGGCUCUGGUGAGUAGUGCGGCGACAGACAGAGGGGUGCCCGGGUCUGCUUCCGGGAAAGUUUGGUCCCGGUGAAAUGGAGCUGUUUGGAGGCCGGCUUCGGUCUUUGUGUGGGCCGGCCCGUGUAGGGCUGCUUGGCUGAGACUCUGUCGAGGAGGGAGGCCUUCAGCCACCGGGGCCUCACGGGGCCUACCCGUGCGGCACCAUCACAGAGCUCUCCGUCACUGCCCCUUGUGGG
Molecule: long non-coding RNA, 1186 nt
Filed under: Sus scrofa (pig)
Lineage: Eukaryota; Metazoa; Chordata; Mammalia; Artiodactyla; Suidae
Description: lncRNA (ENSSSCG00070008444.1)
Source: RNAcentral